AGUGAACGCUGGCGGUAGGCCUAACACAUGCAAGUCGAACGGCAGCACAGUAAGAGCUUGCUCUUACGGGUGGCGAGUGGCGGACGGGUGAGGAAUACAUCGGAAUCUACUUUUUCGUGGGGGAUAACGUAGGGAAACUUACGCUAAUACCGCAUACGACCUACGGGUGAAAGCAGGGGAUCUUCGGACCUUGCGCGAUUGAAUGAGCCGAUGUCGGAUUGGCUAGUUGGCGGGGUAAAGGCCCACCAAGGCGACGAUCCGUAGCUGGUCUGAGAGGAUGAUCAGCCACACUGGAACUGAGACACGGUCCAGACUCCUACGGGAGGCAGCAGUGGGGAAUAUUGGACAAUGGGCGCAAGCCUGAUCCAGCCAUACCGCGUGGGUGAAGAAGGCCUUCGGGUUGUAAAGCCCUUUUGUUUGGAAAGAAAAGCAGCAGGUUAAUACCCCGCUGUUCUGACGGUACCCAAAGAAUAAGCACCGGCUAACUUCGUG
RNAcentral lists this ribosomal RNA (492 nucleotides) under uncultured bacterium. Its description in RNAcentral is "partial 16S ribosomal RNA". It matches the Rfam family "Bacterial small subunit ribosomal RNA", at positions 29 to 507 of the family's 1533-position model. The record is from RNAcentral.